GUACACUCCUGCGGGAGGCAGCAGUGGGGAAUAUUGCACAAUGGGCGCAAGCCUGAUGCAGCCAUGCCGCGUGUAUGAAGAAGGCCUUCGGGUUGUAAAGUACUUUCAGCGGGGAGGAAGGCGAUAAGGUUAAUAACCUUGUUGAUUGACGUUACCCGCAGAAGAAGCACCGGCUAACUCCGUGCCAGCAGCCGCGGUAAUACGGAGGGUGCAAGCGUUAAUCGGAAUUACUGGGCGUAAAGCGCACGCAGGCGGUCUGUCAAGUCGGAUGUGAAAUCCCCGGGCUCAACCUGGGAACUGCAUUCGAAACUGGCAGGCUAGAGUCUUGUAGAGGGGGGUAGAAUUCCAGGUGUAGCGGUGAAAUGCGUAGAGAUCUGGAGGAAUACCGGUGGCGAAGGCGGCCCCCUGGACAAAGACUGACGCUCAGGUGCGAAAGCGUGGGGAGCAAACAGGAUUAGAUACCCGUGUAGUCCCAUG
This 477-nucleotide ribosomal RNA is filed under the name uncultured organism. Its description in RNAcentral is "partial 16S ribosomal RNA". It matches the Rfam family "Bacterial small subunit ribosomal RNA", at positions 331 to 799 of the family's 1533-position model. The record is from RNAcentral.